Molecule: ribosomal RNA, 453 nt
Filed under: Triticum aestivum (bread wheat)
Lineage: Eukaryota; Viridiplantae; Streptophyta; Magnoliopsida; Poales; Poaceae
Description: partial small subunit ribosomal RNA
Source: RNAcentral
AUGAAUGUGGAUGCGGCUGUAUCCCAGCAAGGGGAGUUUGGUGCCGUGGGAGCAGUGUGCCGAGACCACAGGGGAGUUUUCUUGGGUGCUUCGAUCUUAAAACUCGAGUUUAUCACGGAUGUGAGCACACUAGAAGCAAUAGCAGUAAGGGAAGGCCAAUCUCUGGCUGAGGAUUUAUAUGAGAAUUCCAUUCAAAUCGCUACAGACUGCAAGCGAGUGGUUGAAGAUGUGCGGAAGAACUCGGCGGCUGGCUAUGGAGCUAUAGUGCAUGAAAUAAUACUUCGUGCAAACUCUUUCCAAUCAUGUAAAGUAGUUCAUGAGUUUAGGAGCUCGAAUUUUGAGGCUCACAAUCUUGCUAGAUAUGCUUUGUCCUUAGAUUUUGGUCGUCAUGUAUGGCUAGGACAACCAGGAGAUCUUGAUUUUAUUCCUAUAAACAUUAUGGGCGAUGAAUAA